This 424-nucleotide ribosomal RNA is filed under the name uncultured prokaryote. RNAcentral's name for it is "bacterial SSU rRNA". It matches the Rfam family "Bacterial small subunit ribosomal RNA", at positions 355 to 796 of the family's 1533-position model. The record is from RNAcentral.
UGGGGAAUAUUGGACAAUGGGCGCAAGCCUGAUCCAGCCAUGCCGCGUGAGUGAUGAGGGCCUUAGGGUUGUAAAACUCUUUCACCGGUGAAGAUGAUGACGGUAACCGGAGAAGAAGCCCCGGCUAACUUCGUGCCAGCAGCCGCGGUAAUACGAAGGGGGCUAGCGUUGUUCGGAAUCACUGGGCGUAAAGGGCGCGUAGGCGGCUGUUUAAGUCGAGGGUGAAAGCCCGGGGCUCAACCCCGGAACGGCCUUCGAGACUGGGCAGCUCGAGACCGGAAGAGGAGGGUGGAAUACCCAGUGUAGAGGUGAAAUUCGUAGAUAUUGGGUGGAACACCAGUGGCGAAAGCGGCUCCCUGGUCCGGAUCUGACGCUGAGGCGCGAAAGCGUGGGGAGCAAACAGGAUUAGAUACCCCUGUAGUCC